Molecule: ribosomal RNA, 401 nt
Filed under: Lamprolepis smaragdina
Lineage: Eukaryota; Metazoa; Chordata; Lepidosauria; Squamata; Scincidae
Description: partial 12S ribosomal RNA
Rfam family: Bacterial small subunit ribosomal RNA
Source: RNAcentral
GCCCAACCGUUAACACAGACAACAAUAGUACAAUGUUGUCCGCCAGAGAACUACGAGCGAAAAACUUAAAACUCUAAGGACUUGGCGGUACCCCAUACCGACCUAGAGGAGCCUGUCCUAUAAUCGAUAUUCCACGUUUUACCCAACCACCCCUUGCAAUCCAGCCUAUAUACCGCCGUCGCCAGCCUACCUUAUGAAAGAAACAAAAUAGGCAUAAUAGUCUUCAACUAAAACGUCAGGUCAAGGUGUAGCAUAUGAGGUGGAAGAGAUGGGCUACAUUUUCUAAAUUAGAAAACUACGAACAAUACAGUGAAACCUGUACUCAAAGGUGGAUUUAACAGUAAGGUAGACAAGAAACUCUACCUUAAGAUCGCUCUGGGGUGCGCACACACCGCCCGUCA